RNAcentral lists this ribosomal RNA (2891 nucleotides) under Klebsiella pneumoniae. Its description in RNAcentral is "bacterial LSU rRNA". It matches the Rfam family "Bacterial large subunit ribosomal RNA". Lineage: Bacteria; Pseudomonadati; Pseudomonadota; Gammaproteobacteria; Enterobacterales; Enterobacteriaceae. The record is from RNAcentral. RNAcentral also lists the same sequence under 2 other names.
ACUAAGCGUACACGGUGGAUGCCCUGGCAGUCAGAGGCGAUGAAGGACGUGCUAAUCUGCGAAAAGCGUCGGUAAGGUGAUAUGAACCGUUAUAACCGGCGAUGUCCGAAUGGGGAAACCCAGUGUGAUUCGUCACACUAUCGUUAACUGAAUACAUAGGUUAACGAGGCGAACCGGGGGAACUGAAACAUCUAAGUACCCCGAGGAAAAGAAAUCAACCGAGAUUCCCCCAGUAGCGGCGAGCGAACGGGGAGCAGCCCAGAGUCUGAAUCAGCUUGUGUGUUAGUGGAACGGUCUGGAAAGUCCGACGGUACAGGGUGAUAGUCCCGUACACCAAAAUGCACAGGCUGUGAACUCGAAGAGUAGGGCGGGACACGUGGUAUCCUGUCUGAAUAUGGGGGGACCAUCCUCCAAGGCUAAAUACUCCUGACUGACCGAUAGUGAACCAGUACCGUGAGGGAAAGGCGAAAAGAACCCCGGCGAGGGGAGUGAAAAAGAACCUGAAACCGUGUACGUACAAGCAGUGGGAGCACCUUCGGGUGUGACUGCGUACCUUUUGUAUAAUGGGUCAGCGACUUAUAUUCUGUAGCAAGGUUAACCGUAUAGGGGAGCCGCAGGGAAACCGAGUCUUAACUGGGCGUUAAGUUGCAGGGUAUAGACCCGAAACCCGGUGAUCUAGCCAUGGGCAGGUUGAAGGUUGGGUAACACUAACUGGAGGACCGAACCGACUAAUGUUGAAAAAUUAGCGGAUGACUUGUGGCUGGGGGUGAAAGGCCAAUCAAACCGGGAGAUAGCUGGUUCUCCCCGAAAGCUAUUUAGGUAGCGCCUCGUGAACUCAUCUUCGGGGGUAGAGCACUGUUUCGGCUAGGGGGUCAUCCCGACUUACCAACCCGAUGCAAACUACGAAUACCGAAGAAUGUUAUCACGGGAGACACACGGCGGGUGCUAACGUCCGUCGUGAAGAGGGAAACAACCCAGACCGCCAGCUAAGGUCCCAAAGUCAUGGUUAAGUGGGAAACGAUGUGGGAAGGCACAGACAGCCAGGAUGUUGGCUUAGAAGCAGCCAUCAUUUAAAGAAAGCGUAAUAGCUCACUGGUCGAGUCGGCCUGCGCGGAAGAUGUAACGGGGCUAAACCAUGCACCGAAGCUGCGGCAGCGACACUAUGUGUUGUUGGGUAGGGGAGCGUUCUGUAAGCCUGCGAAGGUGACCUGUGAGGGUUGCUGGAGGUAUCAGAAGUGCGAAUGCUGACAUAAGUAACGAUAAAGCGGGUGAAAAGCCCGCUCGCCGGAAGACCAAGGGUUCCUGUCCAACGUUAAUCGGGGCAGGGUGAGUCGACCCCUAAGGCGAGGCCGAAAGGCGUAGUCGAUGGGAAACAGGUUAAUAUUCCUGUACUUGGUGUUACUGCGAAGGGGGGACGGAGAAGGCUAUGUUAGCCGGGCGACGGUUGUCCCGGUUUAAGCAUGUAGGCUGGUUAUCCAGGCAAAUCCGGAUAAUCAAGGCUGAGGUGUGAUGACGAGGCACUACGGUGCUGAAGUAACAAAUGCCCUGCUUCCAGGAAAAGCCUCUAAGCAUCAGGUAACAUCAAAUCGUACCCCAAACCGACACAGGUGGUCAGGUAGAGAAUACCAAGGCGCUUGAGAGAACUCGGGUGAAGGAACUAGGCAAAAUGGUGCCGUAACUUCGGGAGAAGGCACGCUGGUGUGUAGGUGAAGCCCCUGCGGGUGGAGCUGAGACCAGUCGAAGAUACCAGCUGGCUGCAACUGUUUAUUAAAAACACAGCACUGUGCAAACACGAAAGUGGACGUAUACGGUGUGACGCCUGCCCGGUGCCGGAAGGUUAAUUGAUGGGGUUAUCCGUAAGGAGAAGCUCUUGAUCGAAGCCCCGGUAAACGGCGGCCGUAACUAUAACGGUCCUAAGGUAGCGAAAUUCCUUGUCGGGUAAGUUCCGACCUGCACGAAUGGCGUAAUGAUGGCCAGGCUGUCUCCACCCGAGACUCAGUGAAAUUGAACUCGCUGUGAAGAUGCAGUGUACCCGCGGCAAGACGGAAAGACCCCGUGAACCUUUACUAUAGCUUGACACUGAACAUUGAGCCUUGAUGUGUAGGAUAGGUGGGAGGCUUUGAAGCGUGGACGCCAGUCUGCGUGGAGCCAACCUUGAAAUACCACCCUUUAAUGUUUGAUGUUCUAACGUUGGCCCCUUACCGGGGUUGCGGACAGUGUCUGGUGGGUAGUUUGACUGGGGCGGUCUCCUCCCAAAGCGUAACGGAGGAGCACGAAGGUUAGCUAAUCCUGGUCGGACAUCAGGAGGUUAGUGCAAUGGCAUAAGCUAGCUUGACUGCGAGCGUGACGGCGCGAGCAGGUGCGAAAGCAGGUCAUAGUGAUCCGGUGGUUCUGAAUGGAAGGGCCAUCGCUCAACGGAUAAAAGGUACUCCGGGGAUAACAGGCUGAUACCGCCCAAGAGUUCAUAUCGACGGCGGUGUUUGGCACCUCGAUGUCGGCUCAUCACAUCCUGGGGCUGAAGUAGGUCCCAAGGGUAUGGCUGUUCGCCAUUUAAAGUGGUACGCGAGCUGGGUUUAGAACGUCGUGAGACAGUUCGGUCCCUAUCUGCCGUGGGCGCUGGAGAAUUGAGGGGGGCUGCUCCUAGUACGAGAGGACCGGAGUGGACGCAUCACUGGUGUUCGGGUUGUCAUGCCAAUGGCACUGCCCGGUAGCUAAAUGCGGAAGAGAUAAGUGCUGAAAGCAUCUAAGCACGAAACUUGCCCCGAGAUGAGUUCUCCCUGAGACUUUAAGUCUCCUGAAGGAACGUUGAAGACGACGACGUUGAUAGGCCGGGUGUGUAAGCGCAGCGAUGCGUUGAGCUAACCGGUACUAAUGAACCGUGAGGCUUAACC